This 328-nucleotide ribosomal RNA is filed under the name Vibrio parahaemolyticus. RNAcentral describes it as "partial 23S ribosomal RNA". It matches the Rfam family "Bacterial large subunit ribosomal RNA", at positions 1508 to 1816 of the family's 2925-position model. Lineage: Bacteria; Pseudomonadati; Pseudomonadota; Gammaproteobacteria; Vibrionales; Vibrionaceae. The record is from RNAcentral.
AGGUUCAAGUGCGUAGGCUUAAGAGUUAGGUAAAUCCGGCUCUUUCUAAGGCUGAGACACGACGUCGAGCUACUACGGUAGUGAAGUCAUUGAUGCCAUGCUUCCAGGAAAAGCCUCUAAGCUUCAGAUUGUAAGGAAUCGUACCCCAAACCGACACAGGUGGUCGGGUAGAGAAUACCAAGGCGCUUGAGAGAACUCGGGUGAAGGAACUAGGCAAAAUGGUACCGUAACUUCGGGAGAAGGUACGCUCUUGAUGGUGAAGUCCCUUGCGGAUGGAGCUGACGAGAGUCGCAGAUACCAGGUGGCUGCAACUGUUUAUUAAAAACAC